Molecule: ribosomal RNA, 521 nt
Filed under: uncultured bacterium
Lineage: Bacteria
Description: bacterial SSU rRNA
Rfam family: Bacterial small subunit ribosomal RNA
Source: RNAcentral
UGGGGAAUCUUGCACAAUGGAGGAAACUCUGAUGCAGCGACGCCGCGUGAGCGAUGAAGCCCUUCGGGGUGUAAAGCUCUUUCGACGGGAACGAUAAUGACGGUACCCGAAGAAGAAGCUGCGGCUAACUACGUGCCAGCAGCCGCGGUAAUACGUAGGCAGCAAGCGUUGUUCGGAAUUACUGGGCGUAAAGAGUGUGUAGGCGGUGUUCUAAGUCUGUUGUGAAAUCUCCCGGCUUAACUGGGAGGGUGCGGCGGAGACUGGAAUGCUAGAGUAUGGGAGAGGUAAGCGGAAUUCCUGGUGUAGCGGUGAAAUGCGUAGAUAUCAGGAGGAACACCUGUGGUGUAGACAGCUUACUGGACCAUGACUGACGCUGAGACACGAAAGCGUGGGUAGCAAACAGGAUUAGAUACCCUGGUAGUCCACGCCCUAAACGAUGCAUACUUGGUGUGAGCCAUUCAUUUGGUUCGUGCCGGAGCUAACGCGUUAAGUAUGCCGCCUGGGGAGUACGGUCGCAAGGC